AUGAGGGGAAAGGGAAAGUACCUUACUUUAAGAAGAGGGAUCCAGAAGGGGCAACACUAGAAAGAGGAACAAUCCAGGCACUGGCAGAUUUUGAAAGGGAAACGCCUUGGUCAAACGAAAAUGGAGAAACGUCUCAUAGAACUUUAGUUCACCACAUUAAGGAUUUCGUUGGGGGCGAAUGCGGCGAAUUAUUUAUAAAAACAUUUUGUGGUCUUGUGGAACACAAGAAAGAACAACAUACUGAUCCAGAUUUAGCUACAGAGGUCAGCCGCAAACGUGCCAAAGAAGAACCGGACGCAAAAAUAUUAUUGGGUGCAUUAACAGUAGCGGUCGCAGAUGCCCGUAAGUAAACAAUUCUGCAAUGUAAA
Molecule: long non-coding RNA, 368 nt
Organism: Ruditapes philippinarum (Manila clam)
Lineage: Eukaryota; Metazoa; Mollusca; Bivalvia; Venerida; Veneridae
Exons: 4
Source: RefSeq, a predicted model, not a curated record